UGGGGAAUUUUGGACAAUGGGGGAAACCCUGAUCCAGCCAUCCCGCGUGUGCGAUGAAGGCCUUCGGGUUGUAAAGCACUUUUGGCAGGAAAGAAACGUCAUGGGUUAAUACCCCGUGAAACUGACGGUACCUGCAGAAUAAGCACCGGCUAACUACGUGCCAGCAGCCGCGGUAAUACGUAGGGUGCAAGCGUUAAUCGGAAUUACUGGGCGUAAAGCGUGCGCAGGCGGUUCGGAAAGAAAGAUGUCAAAUCCGAGAGCUCAACUUUGGAACUGCAUUUUUAACUACCGGGCUAGAGAGUGUCAGAGGGAGGUGGAAUUCCGCGUGUAGCAGUGAAAUGCGUAGAGAUGCGGAGGAACACCGAUGGCGAAGGCAGCCUCCUGGGAUAACACUGACGCUCAUGCACGAAAGCGUGGGGAGCAAACAGG
Molecule: ribosomal RNA, 429 nt
Filed under: Acidobacteriota bacterium
Lineage: Bacteria; Pseudomonadati; Acidobacteriota
Description: Acidobacteria bacterium partial 16S ribosomal RNA
Rfam family: Bacterial small subunit ribosomal RNA
Source: RNAcentral